UGGUCUAUACUCUUCCUUGGUCAUUUUCGUUCUUCUUCAGGCACAUCAGAGCGCUACAGUUUUUAACAUUACUGCAGCCAAACCACCCUUUCAGAAUCAAACUCGUCUCCUCCAGUCAAAUUUCGAGCUCGGUUUCUUCAACCCUGAUGUAUCAGCAAAUCAAUAUGUGAAGAUAUGGUACAAGAAUGCGACUCCUUCCAAGAUCGUCUGGGUCGCCAAUAGGGAUACAUGGCUUGCAUAUCCAGAUCAAUCUGUGAAAUUAACAAUAGGCUGCAAUGGGAAUCUGAAGCUGAUGGAUAAGCAACAGAACGUAGUUUGGCCCACCAAUGUUUCUGUCCGGUCAAACUAUACUUCAGCAAUGCUUUCAGAUGGUGGAAACUUUGUCCUGCAAGACGGGAAUUCAAUUGAAAUAUGGGUAAGCUUCAAUGAUCCAACUUAUACUCUUCUACCAAACAUGAAGAUAGGAAUAAACACCAGAAACGGAGACAGUAUUUAGUUUCCUGGAAAAUGAAAAUGAUCCAUCAUCUGGAAAUUUCAUCACUCGGAGUACGUCGGAGACUGCCACAAAUUGUCACUUGGAAUGGCUUGAACCCUUUAUGGAGAAGUGGACCACAGGAUAAAUCAAUAUUCAUUGGCAUACCAGGAAUGGAUUCCUCAUACUUCAAUGGUUACAAUCUCCGGCAAAAUCUUCAGCAGCGAACCACUUAUUUCUCUGCUGAAUAUAAUAACAUCUCUUUGUGUGCUUAUGACUUCACUUCACCUGGGGGAAUUCUUACAAUAAUGUGUUGGGAUGAUGGAACCAAGAGUUGGUUUAAAGAUUGGGUGGCAUUGAACAACAGUUGCCAAUUUAAUGGAACUUGCAUCCUUUUGGUGUCUGCAACUCACUUAACUCUCCUAUAUGCCCUUGCAUAAAGGGGUUUACACCGAGAUUGAAAGAAGAGUGGAACAGCAGAAAUUGGACCAGGGGUUGCAUUAGAGAAACAGAAUUGAAUUGUUAGAAGAACACAAGCAGGCCAGCUUCAAUGCAGGUGAAGAAAGAUGUCUUUGUGCGGAUGAACCAGAUGAAAGUGCCUGAUUCUGUGGAAUAUUUAUCAGACAUCAGAGAUGAAGGAGGAUGCCAAAUCUGGUGCCUGAAUAAUUGUUCUUGCCUGGCUCAUUCUUAUAUCAGCAUGAGAGGGUGUUUUGUCUGGGCUAAAGAUCUCAUCAAUGUUCAGGAGUUUUCAAUAGCUGGCCAAGAAAUAUAUAUUCGGGUCGCACAUGACAAUAUACGUACAAGAGGUUUGACUACAAUGAGUUUCAAUUGAACUGUAUCACACAUCUUGCAAUUCUUUAUUCAUCUCAGGCAUGUCAACACAAGCAAAACUUAUCAUCAGCUUAAGUACUGUAAUUGCCAUCAUGUUCGUAGGAGCUGCAAUUUUUGUCCUCUGUGAGUCAAGAGAUAGCAAAAGAGGAGAAAUGUCAUAUGGAAUCGCAUGGAAAGAUCAGCUGAAGCAAGAUGAUGCAUCCAAAUUGACGCUGUUCACUUUUGGUAGCUUACUUAUUGUGACAGACAACUUUGGUUUGGCCCAGUUUAUGAGAUUCAAGAAGGAAAGCAGAACUCAACU
This is a long non-coding RNA of Eucalyptus grandis, 1604 nucleotides long. RefSeq lists it as uncharacterized. The transcript has 3 exons. The record is from RefSeq and is a predicted model, not a curated record. NCBI's taxonomy places the organism in Eukaryota, Viridiplantae, Streptophyta, Magnoliopsida, Myrtales, Myrtaceae.